ACUCGCUCGCAGCUCGAUUUUCAGGGCAUUCGCACGUGGUACUUGCUGUAAGACGCUUCGACCCUUCUCUCGCUUGUGAACUCGAGAGAUACCUAUUACGCAUCCGAUUUACUUUUCUGCCUUGCUUGAUAUGCCUUGCCUUGCCGUGCUUUGCCUUGUUUAAUAGAAGUUUGUUAUUACCACAUUAUAACACUGGCGAGACUUUCAUCGGAUGAAUACGAGAACAUUCAUACACGGUACCUGCUAGAAUACUUCGACAAGAGCGCUUCUCUCACUUGUGAGCUCGAGAAAUAGCUACUACGCAUUCGAUUUAUUUUCUUGCCUUGCUUGACGUGUCUUGCCUUGCUUGAUAUGCUUUGCCUUGCUUGAUAGAAGUUUAAUCACAUUAUAAUACUAGUGAGACUUGCACCAGAUGAAUUACGAGGUACGUACCAUGCGACGCUCACGUACGUACGCUCGCACACAUGUAAAGCGAUUUUAUCUCUCAACUCUCAAGGUACGUUUGCAGCACUCACGUAUGAUUAUUUGCUUGAGUAUAAAUACGCCUUGAGAGAUAAUGUUGUGUAUGUGUGUGCAUACGAUACAUAAUAAAGUUAUAAUCGCGAAAAAAUAGAGAACAUAAGUGAAAAAAAUAUUCAUUUAUCCUUAUAUUAUAAUCAUUAUCAUAUAUGUCAAAAAAUAUAUUUGAUGCUAUCAAGUAAAUCUUGAUUUGAUUGUCUCGUUCGCGCGUUGCUAUACUUAUUCGUGUGACUUGUUUCACUCGUGUCGUUUGACAGUUUGACAGUAAAAGAAAAUAAAGAUAUAGAAAAUAAAGUUAAAAAUAUUUAGAAGGAAAGAUGUGUAAAAAAAGAUAUGUAUGUUAUAUGUACGUAUACCAUUAUAUAUCAUUAUGUUGUAUGAAAAAUACAUAUAUUAUUGUCUUUAUAUAAAUGAUUUAUUUAAAAUUAAAGAAAAAAUUAAGAAUUGGCGAGAGAGAGAGAGAGAGAGAGAGAGAGAGAGAGAGAGAGAGAGAAAAGAAAAGAAUAUAAUACUAGAUAAUAAUAUUGUUCGGUAUAAUUAAAUAUAUUAUUAAAAAUUACUAAUAUAUAUCAUUAAAUAUUAUUAACAUUAUUUAGUUUUAUUAAUAUUAUUUAAUUUUAAUAAUGUUAUUUAAUAUUAUUAAUUUUUAUAAAUGUUUAAAUAUUAUAGUUGUUGUAAAUGUUUAAAUAUUAUGGUUAAUAAUUUUUUAAAUGUUUUAUUUGAAGUUAAAAUAGAGACGAAUAAUAAGAAAGGGAAAAAGAUAGAGAUAAGGAGAGAAAAAGUGAGAGAAAGAGAGAAAAAAGAGAGAAAAAAGAAAAAAAGGAAGAUAAUAUUGUUUAAUAUAAUUAAAUAUAUUAAUAAAAUUUCUUAAUAUUUUUAUUAAUAUUAUUAUUAAUAUUCUUAAAUAUUAUUAAUAUUUAAUUUUAUUAGUAUUAUUUAAUUCUAUUAACGAUAUUUAAUAUUAAAUUUAAUUAUAUAGUAUUAAAUAUCAUUAAAUUAUAUAUUAAAGUUUGUAAAUGUUUAAAUACAAAGGUAAAAAAAGUACGCCAAGUAUAUAAAAAAAUCUCAACUUAUAUGUAACAAAAGGUUUAAAUAUGAUUUUUUACAAAAAGUAGUGAUUCCUUCAAAAAAACUUCACAAAG
Molecule: long non-coding RNA, 1661 nt
Organism: Cataglyphis hispanica
Lineage: Eukaryota; Metazoa; Arthropoda; Insecta; Hymenoptera; Formicidae
Exons: 3
Source: RefSeq, a predicted model, not a curated record